AGCGACUGCAAACCGGUGCAUUCACCAAACCCCUCUCCGCACACUUAACCACCCACACCCGCACGCCCUAAGUGCCACCCGCCAUCACCUUCUUUCCUUCCUCUCCCUUCCGCACACAGCACAACCCAACACGUAGGAACGCUCAAGGUGUUAAUACUGCGCUCCUCCUCGCACGUGUCUGUAUCUGUAACCUUGUGCGUGUAUCCGUGCGCUUCCUCUCCAGUCACAGCGCCUCGAAGAUUAUUUGCCUUUCAUAUAUGCGUGUGCGGUGGUUUCGCUGUCGUCAUUGUUGUCUGCGGCUGAUUUCACGGUCGUUGACACACGUCGCUCCUUCUCGUUUUUCUUUUUCCAUGCGACCACGUGAUUGACGGGCUCGAGCUCUACCUCCCUCCCCCCCCCCACACACCUCCUGCCUUUUACACCUGUCCCUCGUGGUGCAUACACGCAUACAAGCCCCCCGACCCGCACCUCUCCCCAUCCCUUUCACUCUCCCUAUGCGGAGUGGCAGGGUCCUUGCCCUUGUCGAGGUUUCUUUCGUUUCGCUUGUGUUGGUUGUUGUGGUGGUGAGGACAUUGGCCAACACAUCGUCGCGAACUUCUGCUGGACGGCCGCCCUCGUCAACUUCCCUGUGGCCUGCUUGCUUACCCUGCACUUCUGCUCCGCUGCUUUCCGCCUCAUACUUCGUCUCGACCAUCGUUUUUCCCUCGUCCAUCCUCCCCCUCCUCCCUCCCCCCUCUGCGCAUCCCUGCUGAUUGCUCGGGCAAG
RNAcentral lists this unclassified non-coding RNA (765 nucleotides) under Leishmania donovani. RNAcentral's name for it is "gene:unknown". Lineage: Eukaryota; Euglenozoa; Kinetoplastea; Trypanosomatida; Trypanosomatidae. The record is from RNAcentral.